GAUGAACGCUAGCGAUAGGCUUAACACAUGCAAGUCGAGGGGCAGCAUGGUCUUAGCUUGCUAAGACUGAUGGCGACCGGCGCACGGGUGCGUAACGCGUAUGCAACUUGCCUCACAGAGGGGGAUAACCCGUCGAAAGACGGACUAAUACCGCGUACACUUGGGAUAGGGCAUCCUGACCCAAGGAAAUGAAAUUCGCUGUGAGAUAGGCAUGCGUCCCAUUAGCUAGUUGGUGAGGUAACGGCUCACCGAGGCGACGAUGGGUAGGGGAACUGAGAGGUUGAACCCCCACACUGGUACUGAGACACGGACCAGACUCCUACGGGAGGCAGCAGUGAGGAAUAUUGGUCAAUGGGCGAGAGCCUGAACCAGCCAAGUCGCGUGAAGGAUGACUGUCUUAUGGAUUGUAAACUUCUUUUAUACGGGAAUAACAAGAGCCACGUGUGGCUCCCUGCAUGUACCGUAUGAAUAAGCAUCGGCUAACUCCGCG
Molecule: ribosomal RNA, 490 nt
Filed under: uncultured bacterium
Lineage: Bacteria
Description: partial 16S ribosomal RNA
Rfam family: Bacterial small subunit ribosomal RNA
Source: RNAcentral